The sequence is a transfer RNA, 77 nucleotides long. It matches the Rfam family "tRNA". Rfam says of the family: Transfer RNA (tRNA) molecules are approximately 80 nucleotides in length. Their secondary structure includes four short double-helical elements and three loops (D, anti-codon, and T loops).
GCGCCUAUAGCUCAGCCCGGUAGAGCAGUUGCCUUUUAAGCAAACGGUCGGAGGUUCGAGUCCUCCUGGGCGCACCA